RNAcentral lists this ribosomal RNA (737 nucleotides) under Agrococcus sp. RNAcentral's name for it is "bacterial SSU rRNA". It matches the Rfam family "Bacterial small subunit ribosomal RNA", at positions 73 to 823 of the family's 1533-position model. The record is from RNAcentral. Lineage: Bacteria; Bacillati; Actinomycetota; Actinomycetes; Micrococcales; Microbacteriaceae.
GAGGAGCUUGCUCCUCCGGAUUAGUGGCGAACGGGUGAGUAACACGUGAGCAAUCUGCCCUUGACUCUGGGAUAAGCGCUGGAAACGGCGUCUAAUACCGGAUACGACCCGCGGAGGCAUCUCCUGCGGGUGGAAAGAACUUCGGUCAAGGAUGAGCUCGCGGCCUAUCAGCUUGUUGGUGAGGUAAUGGCUCACCAAGGCGACGACGGGUAGCCGGCCUGAGAGGGUGACCGGCCACACUGGGACUGAGACACGGCCCAGACUCCUACGGGAGGCAGCAGUGGGGAAUAUUGCACAAUGGGCGCAAGCCUGAUGCAGCAACGCCGCGUGAGGGACGACGGCCUUCGGGUUGUAAACCUCUUUUAGCAGGGAAGAAGCGAGAGUGACGGUACCUGCAGAAAAAGCACCGGCUAACUACGUGCCAGCAGCCGCGGUAAUACGUAGGGUGCAAGCGUUGUCCGGAAUUAUUGGGCGUAAAGAGCUCGUAGGCGGUCUGUCGCGUCUGCUGUGAAAACCCGAGGCUCAACCUCGGGCUUGCAGUGGGUACGGGCAGACUAGAGUGCGGUAGGGGAGAUUGGAAUUCCUGGUGUAGCGGUGGAAUGCGCAGAUAUCAGGAGGAACACCGAUGGCGAAGGCAGAUCUCUGGGCCGUAACUGACGCUGAGGAGCGAAAGCGUGGGGAGCAAACAGGCUUAGAUACCCUGGUAGUCCACGCCGUAAACGUUGGGAACUAGAUGU